Molecule: ribosomal RNA, 422 nt
Filed under: Verrucomicrobiota bacterium
Lineage: Bacteria; Pseudomonadati; Verrucomicrobiota
Description: Verrucomicrobia bacterium partial 16S ribosomal RNA
Rfam family: Bacterial small subunit ribosomal RNA
Source: RNAcentral
UGGGGAAUUUUGCACAAUGGGCGCAAGCCUGAUGCAGCGACGCCGCGUGAGGGAUGAAGGCCUUCGGGUUGUAAACCUUUUUCGCUCAUGGUCAAGCCGCAGCUUUGGGUUGUGGUGAGGGUAGUGGGUAAAGAAGCGCCGGCUAACUACGUGCCAGCAGCCGCGGUAAUUCGUAGGGCGCGAGCGUUGUCCGGAAUUAUUGGGCGUAAAGGGCUUGUAGGCGGUUGGCCGCGUCUGCCGUGAAAUCCUCUGGCUUAACUGGGGGCGUGCGGUGGGUACGGGUUGACUUGAGUGCGGUAGGGGAGACUGGAAUUCCUGGUGUAGCGGUGGAAUGCGCAGAUAUCAGGAGGAACACCGGUGGCGAAGGCGGGUCUCUGGGCCGUUACUGACGCUGAGGAGCGAAAGCGUGGGGAGCGAACAGG